GACGAACGCUGGCGGCGUGCUUAACACAUGCAAGUCGAACGGACAGACCAUGCUUUUGUGGGGUGCACGUGUGGCGCACGGGUGAGUAAAACGUGAGUAAACUGUACUUGAAUUUGGGAUAAAUUUUGGAAACUGGGGAUCAUACAGGAUAGGAGAUACUGCUGCACGGUGGGGGUUGGAAAGUUUCGGCGGUUGGGGCUGGACUAGAGGCUUAUCAGCUUGAUGGUGAGGUAGUGGAUUACAAAGUCUUUGAAGGGUAGCCGGCCUUAGAGGGUGACCGGCCACAUUGGUACUGAGGUACGGCCCAGACUCCUACGGUAGGCAGCAGUGGGGAAUAUUGCACAAUGGGCGGAAGCCUGAUGCAGCAACGCUGCGUUCGUAAUGACGUCCUUCGAGGUGUAAACCGCUGUCGCCUGUGAUGAAGCGGGAUUGACGGUAAUUGGUAAAGAAGCACCGGCUAACUACGUG
RNAcentral lists this ribosomal RNA (468 nucleotides) under uncultured bacterium. RNAcentral describes it as "partial 16S ribosomal RNA". It matches the Rfam family "Bacterial small subunit ribosomal RNA", at positions 28 to 507 of the family's 1533-position model. The record is from RNAcentral.